Molecule: long non-coding RNA, 476 nt
Filed under: Astyanax mexicanus (Mexican tetra)
Lineage: Eukaryota; Metazoa; Chordata; Actinopteri; Characiformes; Acestrorhamphidae
Description: lncRNA (ENSAMXG00005017711.1)
Source: RNAcentral
GUAUUUUUGUGUCACAUUGUACUACAGUGUGUUACAGUGUUUUACACUAUUUUACAGUAGUGCAUUUUUGGGUGUACAGUCGGGAGCUGCUGUGCCUGUACUGUGAGGCGUGGGUUAAGCUGGAGCUGGAUGUGUAUCUUUGCCAGCAGGCUUUACGAGAGGCACUGGACAGCAGGGAGAUCUCAGAGGCCAGAGACAGACUAGCACACAUCACACAGCUCUCUCAGAGUGUGGAGGCUGUGUGGCGUGAGCGGAGGUGGAUAAUGGACGUGAUGCAGUGUGUCCGCUCACGACAGCGUUUGGGGGCGGUGCCUCUACACCUCAUCAUGGGCUCACAGCCAGUCAAAAAAGAAGAGGGUGGACGAUUCCCCAUCUUGUUACAAACACAUACUCACACACCUGGCACAGGUGAGAAUACACCUGCACCUACACACACACACUUCUAGAUAACAGUGAGUCAUACAGUGUCAGAAUCA